UAGGGAAUCUUCCGCAAUGGGCGAAAGCCUGACGGAGCAACGCCGCGUGAGUGAUGAAGGUCUUCGGAUCGUAAAACUCUGUUAUUAGGGAAGAACAAAUGUGUAAGUAACUAUGCACGUCUUGACGGUACCUAAUCAGAAAGCCACGGCUAACUACGUGCCAGCAGCCGCGGUAAUACGUAGGUGGCAAGCGUUAUCCGGAAUUAUUGGGCGUAAAGCGCGAGUAGGCGGUUUUUUAAGUCUGAUGUGAAAGCCCACGGCUCAACCGUGGAGGGUCAUUGGAAACUGGAAAACUUGAGUGCAGAAGAGGAAAGUGGAAUUCCAUGUGUAGCGGUGAAAUGCGCAGAGAUAUGGAGAAACACCAGUGGCUAAGGCGACUUUCUGGUCUGUAACUGACGCUGAUGUGCGAAGGCGUGGGGAUCAAACAGG
RNAcentral lists this ribosomal RNA (429 nucleotides) under Actinomycetes bacterium. RNAcentral's name for it is "Actinobacteria bacterium partial 16S ribosomal RNA". It matches the Rfam family "Bacterial small subunit ribosomal RNA", at positions 355 to 776 of the family's 1533-position model. Lineage: Bacteria; Bacillati; Actinomycetota; Actinomycetes. The record is from RNAcentral.